UUCCCUGUGGCUCAGUUGGUAGAGCAUGGUGUUUGCAACGCCAGGGUUGUGGGUUCGAUUCCCACAGGGGGGC
RNAcentral lists this transfer RNA (73 nucleotides) under Salmo salar (Atlantic salmon). It matches the Rfam family "tRNA". Rfam says of the family: Transfer RNA (tRNA) molecules are approximately 80 nucleotides in length. Their secondary structure includes four short double-helical elements and three loops (D, anti-codon, and T loops). The record is from Rfam by way of RNAcentral. RNAcentral also lists the same sequence under 1 other name. Lineage: Eukaryota; Metazoa; Chordata; Actinopteri; Salmoniformes; Salmonidae.